This 239-nucleotide ribosomal RNA is filed under the name Staphylococcus aureus. RNAcentral describes it as "partial 23S ribosomal RNA". It matches the Rfam family "Bacterial large subunit ribosomal RNA", at positions 1286 to 1523 of the family's 2925-position model. The record is from RNAcentral. Lineage: Bacteria; Bacillati; Bacillota; Bacilli; Caryophanales; Staphylococcaceae.
AAGUGAGAAUGCCGGUGUGAGUAGCGAAAGACGGGUGAGAAUCCCGUCCACCGAUUGACUAAGGUUUCCAGAGGAAGGCUCGUCCGCUCUGGGUUAGUCGGGUCCUAAGCUGAGGCCGACAGGCGUAGGCGAUGGAUAACAGGUUGAUAUUCCUGUACCACCUAUAAUCGUUUUAAUCGAUGGGGGGACGCAGUAGGAUAGGCGAAGCGUGCGAUUGGAUUGCACGUCUAAGCAGUAAG